RNAcentral lists this ribosomal RNA (328 nucleotides) under Campylobacter coli. RNAcentral's name for it is "bacterial LSU rRNA". It matches the Rfam family "Bacterial large subunit ribosomal RNA", at positions 1933 to 2262 of the family's 2925-position model. Lineage: Bacteria; Pseudomonadati; Campylobacterota; Epsilonproteobacteria; Campylobacterales; Campylobacteraceae. The record is from RNAcentral.
GCGCGUACUAUACGGUCCUAGGUAGCGAAAUUCCUUGUCGGUUAAAUACCGACCUGCAUGAAUGGCGUAACGAGAUGGGAGCUGUCUCAAAGAGGGAUCCAGUGAAAUUGUAGUGGAGGUGAAAAUUCCUCCUACCCGCGGCAAGACGGAGAGACCCCGUGGACCUUUACUACAGCUUGACACUGCUAUUUGGAUAAGAAUGUGCAGGAUAGGUGGGAGGCUUUGAGUAUAUGACGCCAGUUGUAUAUGAGCCAUUGUUGAGAUACCACUCUUUCUUAUUUGGGUAGCUAACCAGCUUGAGUUAUCCUCAAGUGGGACAAUGUCUGGA